UACGGAGGAUCCAAGCGUUAUCCGGAAUCAUUGGGUUUAAAGGGUCCGUAGGCGGGCAGCUAAGUCAGUGGUGAAAGUCUGCAGCUCAACUGUAGAAUUGCCAUUGAUACUGGUUGUCUUGAAUUAUUAUGAAGUGGUUAGAAUAAGUAGUGUAGCGGUGAAAUGCAUAGAUAUUACAUAGAAUACCGAUUGCGAAGGCAGAUCACUAAUAAUUCACUGACGCUGAGGGACGAAAGCGUAGGUAGCGAACAGG
Molecule: unclassified non-coding RNA, 253 nt
Filed under: uncultured Flavobacteriaceae bacterium
Lineage: Bacteria; Pseudomonadati; Bacteroidota; Flavobacteriia; Flavobacteriales; Flavobacteriaceae
Description: contains 16S-23S intergenic spacer region
Rfam family: Bacterial small subunit ribosomal RNA
Source: RNAcentral